Molecule: ribosomal RNA, 465 nt
Filed under: uncultured bacterium
Lineage: Bacteria
Description: partial 16S ribosomal RNA
Rfam family: Bacterial small subunit ribosomal RNA
Source: RNAcentral
CCUACGGGGGGCAGCAGUGGGGAAUAUUGCGCAAUGGGCGAAAGCCUGACGCAGCGACGCCGCGUGAGGGAUGAAGGUCUUCGGAUCGUAAACCUCUGUCAGCAGGGAAGAACGGUCACUGUGCUAAUCAGCAGUGAAUUGACGGUACCUGCAAAGGAAGCACCGGCUAACUCCGUGCCAGCAGCCGCGGUAAUACGGAGGGUGCGAGCGUUAAUCGGAAUUACUGGGCGUAAAGCGCUCGUAGGCGGUAUGUCAAGUCAAGGGUGAAAUCCCCGCGCUCAACGUGGGAACUGCCUUUGAAACGGGCAAACUGGAGUGUGUGAGAGGAUAGUGGAAUGCCAGGUGUAGGAGUGAAAGCCGUAGAUAUCUGGAGGAACAUCAGUGGCGAAGGCGACUAUCUGGCACAUAACUGACGCUGAGGAGCGAAAGCGUGGGUAGCAAACAGGAUUAGAUACCCUAGUAGUC